GAUGAAGAACGUAGCGAAAUGCGAUAAGUAAUGUGAAUUGCAGAAUUCAGUGAAUCAUCGAAUCUUUGAACGCACAUUGCGCCCCCUGGUAUUCCGGGGGGCAUGCCUGUUCGAGCGUCAUUUCACCACUCAAGCCUCGCUUGGUAUUGGGCAACGCGGUCCGCCGCGUGCCUCAAAUCGACCGGCUGGGUCUUCUGUCCCCUAAGCGUUGUGGAAACUAUUCGCUAAAGGGUGUUCGGGAGGCUACGCCGUAAAACAACCCCAUUUCUAAGGUUGACCUCGGAUCAGGUAGGGAUACCCGCUGAACUUAAGCAUAUCAAUAAGCAGGA
RNAcentral lists this unclassified non-coding RNA (329 nucleotides) under soil metagenome. RNAcentral's name for it is "partial contains 5.8S ribosomal RNA, internal transcribed spacer 2, and large subunit ribosomal RNA". The stretch from base 1 to 120 matches the Rfam family "5.8S ribosomal RNA", at positions 35 to 154 of the family's 154-position model. The record is from RNAcentral.